Triticum aestivum (bread wheat) is the source of this 126-nucleotide non-coding RNA. The record is from Rfam. NCBI's taxonomy places the organism in Eukaryota, Viridiplantae, Streptophyta, Magnoliopsida, Poales, Poaceae.
ACAGUACUCCCUCCGUCCGAAAAAACUUGUCCCAACCUUGUUCCUCAAAUGGAUGUAUCUAGCACUAACUUGGUGUUAGAUACAUCUAUUUGAGGAACAAACUUUCUCGGACGGAGGGAGUACAAU